AUGGCCUGCUUCCCUUGCAAUCCUCUCCCCCACCUUCCUCUCGGCACUACAAUCCUCCCACCUGGCCCUCUUCGUGCUCGUUGUGGAUAUGUGGUGCCUGGAGGUGAGCUCCCAAUGGUCUGCGAUGAGUGGGCAAUCGCCACACUCGUACCUGAGGUAUCUGCAGAGGAGUUUCAUGGCGCCAUUGCUCUGAUCACCAACUACCUGGAGGGGCACGGAUGGCGCAUCAACUACACAUCUCGCUAUGGUAUGGGCACUGCUCUUAUUCAGUUUACCACUGCUUGCUCACGCGAUACUGCCGUCAGUCUCAGUCCGUUUCAGAUUGGGGAUUCUGUUCUUAGAGUUAGCAGGCAGGACAGAGGCUUGAACUACCGUAGCAUUACUUUUACCCAUGAUAUCUGGAUAAUGCUCAUGAACUAUCCUCUGGAAUGCUGGGAUGUGGGGGUCAUUAGCCGUACUGUUUUACCCUAUGGUCGAUUUCUGAUAUGGAACAAAGAUCCUAGGGACAAGUCAAGGGUUGUUGUUAAGCUAAGGGUUAUGAAUGUGGACACCAUACCAGUUAGCUUAGUUGUGCUGAGAAAUCUUGAUGAUGUGGGCUAUGGUGACUCAUGGACCUGUCCAACAUAUAUUUUGUCUCGGGAACUGAUUGGUCAGCAUGGGGGAGAUGAGGAUCCUCUGCCCCCUGAUGGUGGUAACCCCCAUCCACUCCCUCAUGUCCAUGGAGGGUUUUGGCAUGAUGAGGUUUUAGGUAAUAUCCCUAUGGAUCAGGUGGUUAUCAAGGUCUGGGGUAGCACGAAGAAGGACUCCCUGGUCGAACUCGCCUCGGCCAUCAUCGACCCUACUACAAAAAGAUGA
RNAcentral lists this ribosomal RNA (855 nucleotides) under Triticum aestivum (bread wheat). RNAcentral describes it as "partial small subunit ribosomal RNA". The record is from RNAcentral. Lineage: Eukaryota; Viridiplantae; Streptophyta; Magnoliopsida; Poales; Poaceae.